UUUUUCAAAUCAGUGAAAUUAAUCUCCCCGUGAAGAAGCGGGGAUACUCAUAUAAGACGAGAAGACCCCAUGGAGCUUCAAACCCAACUACACCCCUAGCUCUUAUAGCCCCACAACCCCCCCUAGGCGCCGUGUGCUUGGUUUUAGGUUGGGGCGACCGCGGAGUACAAUAAAACCUCCACAAUGAAUGGGAACACCCCCUUAUCUGAGGGCCACACCCCCUAAGAAUUAGAACACUAACAUAAAAUGAUCCAUUACUUGAUCAAUGAACCAAGUUACCCUGGGGAUAACAGCGCAAUCCAUUUCAAGAGCCCCUAUCGACAAAUGGGUUUACGACCUCGAUGUUGGAUCAGGGUACCCCAGUGGUGCAGCAGCUACUAACGGUUCGUUUGUUCAACGAUUAAAACCCU
This 410-nucleotide ribosomal RNA is filed under the name Mantidactylus melanopleura. Its description in RNAcentral is "partial 16S ribosomal RNA". It matches the Rfam family "Bacterial large subunit ribosomal RNA", at positions 2024 to 2597 of the family's 2925-position model. The record is from RNAcentral. Lineage: Eukaryota; Metazoa; Chordata; Amphibia; Anura; Mantellidae.